GAACAAACAACCAAAAAUAUUGUUUAUCCAAUUCAGUAAAAAAUUGACCUACAUAUAUGGGAGAGAUCCCAAAUAUCUAAUUCACUAUCAAUGAGUCUUUACAAGAGAUACAAAUGAUAUAUAAGAAAUUAGUUUCAUGAAUUCUCCAAGAGGCAAGAAUAAACCCUAAUUUUUACCGUUUUCUCCCAUUCUCUCAACACAUAAGAUGAACAAUAAAUCUCAUAAAAAAACUCAACCUUUAAGAUUUGAUUCUCAACCUUUAGGGCUGAGUUGCACAGAGACGAUUCAAUGUUUAAUUUUCUAAUUUUCUUUGGUCAACUAGUCUAUUGGUUAAAAUUUCACCGGUAAAUGAAUAAGUGAGUGUUGUCCUUAUAUUUUACAUGCAAUGUUUCUACCAACUUAACUAUACUGACGGAAACUAGUUUUCUAAUUUUAAGGUACACACAACAAUGGACGAAUUCUCGAUAAUUGGUAAAUAGGUGAUAAUGAUUUCGGAAAUCGGAAUUGACAUGAUUUAAAACAUCUCACCUUUUUGCUUAAAAAAAACAUAUCUCACCUUUUGAACAUUAUUUUUAAGUGGAAAAAUGUAAUAGCAACUAAAAAUUGAUCGAGUAAUUGAUUAAAAUUAAUUUUGGACCAAAAAUAUUAUUGACCUUACAAACAAAUACAAAAUUAAUUAGCCCCACCACCAAAAGGCUAAGCCUAAAAAUUAAAAUACAAACUUUGAUGCAUACUUAUCAUGUUAAUUUCCAAAAUGAAAUUAAGUUCUACAUAUGAUCAUAUUGUUAAGAAACAUGAAAUGAAGAGCCAAGAGAUAGACUUGCCGUGUGAAUACCUCAUUUUACUUUAAGAAACAUGAACUAUGAAUACCUCAUUUUACUUUACUUGCCUUGUUCCAUUUCUGUAGUUAUAUGUGUCCUAUACUAAAUGCAAUUUGGAUCCAUGGUGAGUUCGAUAGAAUUAUGGUGAACUAUCUUGAUUUCAAUAAAUUAACCGUGAUUCCAAAUAUACACUAAGGGUGUGUUUGAUUUGUUAAAUGGUAAGUACUGGACAGAACAGUACAAGACAGAACAGCACAACACAUGACAGAACAGCACAUAACAAACUUUUGGGAUAUUGAACAUUUUUUUGUCUUAUACGAUAUUUUGUUAAUAAAAUGGNNNNNNNNNNNNNNNNNNACUGCGGACAAAAAGUUGUGCUGUGGUAUAGUGAGAUACAAAAAAUUCUGUUUUUGUCCUGUCCAUUGCUUCCCAGUUUGUCCAGUUCCUGAAACAGUUUUACAAUCAAACACAGUACAACUACAGUUGUCCUGUCCAGUCCCUUAUUUUUAGCGAAUCAAACGGACCCUAAGUGACAAGCAUAAUAAAAAAUAGGUACUCCCUCCGGUCCUUAUUAUAAGAAACACUUUGACAAAAUCACACAGACUAAGGAAGGUAAAUUUUCUCAUUAAUGAUUCUAACAUUUUAUGUUAUAUUCCAAAACUAACCUUUGACUAGCAUGGAAAAUAGACUUCUCU
RNAcentral lists this long non-coding RNA (1516 nucleotides) under Trifolium pratense (red clover). RNAcentral describes it as "long non-coding RNA (TPRA_LNC005465)". Lineage: Eukaryota; Viridiplantae; Streptophyta; Magnoliopsida; Fabales; Fabaceae. The record is from RNAcentral.